RNAcentral lists this ribosomal RNA (1053 nucleotides) under Arthrobacter koreensis. Its description in RNAcentral is "bacterial SSU rRNA". It matches the Rfam family "Bacterial small subunit ribosomal RNA", at positions 25 to 1084 of the family's 1533-position model. Lineage: Bacteria; Bacillati; Actinomycetota; Actinomycetes; Micrococcales; Micrococcaceae. The record is from RNAcentral.
CGGGGACGGGCGGGGGUCUUACCAUGCAGUCGAACGAUGACUUCUGUGCUUGCACAGAAUGAUUAGUGGCGAACGGGUGAGUAACACGUGAGUAACCUGCCCUUGACUUCGGGAUAAGCCUGGGAAACCGGGUCUAAUACCGGAUACGACCUCCUGGCGCAUGCCAUGGGGGUGGAAAGCUUUAUGCGGUUUUGGAUGGACUCGCGGCCUAUCAGCUUGUUGGCGGGGUAAUGGCCCACCAAGGCGACGACGGGUAGCCGGCCUGAGAGGGUGACCGGCCACACUGGGACUGAGACACGGCCCAGACUCCUACGGGAGGCAGCAGUGGGGAAUAUUGCACAAUGGGCGAAAGCCUGAUGCAGCGACGCCGCGUGAGGGACGAAUGCCUUCGGGUUGUAAACCUCUUUCAGCAGGGAAGAAGCGAAAGUGACGGUACCUGCAGAAGAAGCGCCGGCUAACUACGUGCCAGCAGCCGCGGUAAUACGUAGGGCGCAAGCGUUAUCCGGAAUUAUUGGGCGUAAAGAGCUCGUAGGCGGUUUGUCGCGUCUGCUGUGAAAGCCCGGGGCUCAACCCCGGGUCUGCAGUGGGUACGGGCAGACUAGAGUGCAGUAGGGGAGACUGGAAUUCCUGGUGUAGCGGUGAAAUGCGCAGAUAUCAGGAGGAACACCGAUGGCGAAGGCAGGUCUCUGGGCUGUAACUGACGCUGAGGAGCGAAAGCAUGGGGAGCGAACAGGAUUAGAUACCCUGGUAGUCCAUGCCGUAAACGUUGGGCACUAGGUGUGGGGGACAUUCCACGUUUUCCGCGCCGUAGCUAACGCAUUAAGUGCCCCGCCUGGGGAGUACGGCCGCAAGGCUAAAACUCAAAGGAAUUGACGGGGGCCCGCACAAGCGGCGGAGCAUGCGGAUUAAUUCGAUGCAACGCGAAGAACCUUACCAAGGCUUGACAUGAACCCGGUAAGACCUGGAAAACAGGUCCCCCCACUUGUGGCCGGGUUUACAGGUGGGUGCAUGGUUUGUCGUCAGCCUCGUGUCCUUGAAAAUGUUUGGGUUAAA